GAUGAACGCUGGCGGCGUGCCUAAUACAUGCAAGUCGAGCGAACAGACGAGGAGCUUGCUCCUCUGACGUUAGCGGCGGACGGGUGAGUAACACGUGGAUAACCUACCUAUAAGACUGGGAUAACUUCGGGAAACCGGAGCUAAUACCGGAUAAUAUAUUGAACCGCAUGGUUCAAUAGUGAAAGACGGUUUUGCUGUCACUUAUAGAUGGAUCCGCGCCGCAUUAGCUAGUUGGUAAGGUAACGGCUUACCAAGGGAACGAUGCGUAGCCGAACUGAGAGGGUGAUCGGCCACACUGGAACGGAGACACGGUCCAGACUCCUACGGGAGGCAGCAGUAGGGAAUCUUCCGCAAAGGGCGAAAGCUUGACGGAGCAACGCCGCGUGAGUGAUGAAGGUCUUCGGAUCGUAAAACUCUGUUAUUAGGGAAGAACAAAUGUGUAAGUAACUAUGCACGUCUUGACGGUACCUAAUCAGAAAGCCACGGCUAACUACGUG
RNAcentral lists this ribosomal RNA (497 nucleotides) under uncultured bacterium. RNAcentral describes it as "partial 16S ribosomal RNA". It matches the Rfam family "Bacterial small subunit ribosomal RNA", at positions 28 to 507 of the family's 1533-position model. The record is from RNAcentral.